Non-coding RNA from Caenorhabditis elegans, 156 nucleotides. The record is from Ensembl. Lineage: Eukaryota; Metazoa; Nematoda; Chromadorea; Rhabditida; Rhabditidae.
GAAGAGGAUUCUCGAUUGCCGUAAAUGGAUUACACCAGUGUACAUAUCACAAAGAAGAAGCCGGCAAUAACACCGACCCUUCGGAUAAUUCGAUCUACUAACAGGGCAGAUGUGGCCCCCGCUCACUGGAAGAGAGCGAUAGCUCAUCAUACCUAG